UUGGAGAGUGCAUGUCCA
This 18-nucleotide small nuclear RNA is filed under the name Arabidopsis thaliana (thale cress). RNAcentral describes it as "snRNA_10006". Lineage: Eukaryota; Viridiplantae; Streptophyta; Magnoliopsida; Brassicales; Brassicaceae. The record is from RNAcentral.